UUCGUUUUGUGUAUCGCGAGUUCUCCGAGACUUGUCCGUACCUUCUCUAGGGGUGGAUCUCAUCUUGGGUCUCAGGUUUCCUGGGCACAGAAGACCCCCAGGCUGGGCUCUGGGCUUGCGCAAUCCUGCCUGGAGCCGGACAAAGAACCACCCAAUCCCACGCCUCUCCCAACACUCCUCUCAGCUUGAUUCUAUCCCCUCAGCCCCACCCAACUCCCCCAUCACACCGCCGACCCAACCCCCAUCCCUAAUGGAGCCGCGCACGCCCUCGCGCCCCAGGUAUACUCCGGGUGGCCAGCGCUGGUGGACCGCUCAGGUGAGCUGCUUCAACGGAGGCAAAACCUGGAAGCCAUUUUUCAGAGCCCUAGGAGCCAGGAAAGGAGCGCGAACCCCAAGCCGGCCCACUCGCCACGGCGCACGAGAGAGCUCAGCGAAGCGGGAGCCCAUCCCGUAAUUCAAACAAUCGAACAAGUCCGAAACAAAAUCCUCAGUCCGGAACUGACUGAGGACUCGUUUCCCAUCCUCAUCCCUCAGACCCCGAAUCUGGCUCGUCUGUGCCCCGCCCGCCCCCCCCCCCAAGAUGGAGCUGAGCCGCGGAUGUCACCUUUCGGUCGGCUUCCCCCCACCGCUCCCCCUGCAGGACCAGGGCCCAUUCGACCCCCUGCCGCAUCCCGGCUCCGGGUAGGUGGUCGCGCCCCACCCCGCCCGGGCUCCACUCACCACAAGGGUCAGCAGUAGCUGCCUGCAGACAGCUCCGCGCAGGGAGCUCUGGGGCCCGGCGGCAGCCAUCGGGGUGCGGGGCCGGAGAGGAGGACGCAGGCACCGGGCGGGACGUAAGAGACCAGAGCCCGCCGAGGUGCGGCGGCGCGGAGGUGCACUUCUUUCAGCUGCUCGUUACGUCGCCCGGGACUUUUUCAGGUUUGCGUGCCGGAGGGCGUUUUCACUCCUGAGACAGGAUUGGACUCGGGAGACGCGGAGACGCCCCUCCUCGUUUUUUCUCAAGUUUUAUCACCGCGAGAAGCUCUGGGGAGCUGCCCAAGACUGCCCUUAGGCUUCUCGGAGGCCGCGCCGGGUGCUCGCUCUCGGGAAAGCUGUCCAGGUCACCCCCUCUCUGCCAGCUCUCCCACGCCCCUCCCCCGCCCCCGGCUGCCACGCCUUUCGCGCAAAGCUCAGUAGGGUCUUCCUCGCAGACAAUGCUUGGCGCGUUCCUUCUGCGGAAGCCAAAACCGCCUGCAGGGAUCCCUGCCCCAACACGGGCGCUCCUGGGUGCCAGCAACACCCUUGUCAUUGGACCAGCGGAUCCUCCCUUCAACAUCUGAUCAAAUGCUGGGCAAAGUCUCCUGGUUAAUGCAAAAUAUAUGUAUUCUACCCAAAUUUGCGUCACACGAUAAGAUAAAGGACGGGAGGGGAAAUUAUCCCAAGAGGCAUGAAUAAGCUGACACUUGUUAUACCAGAAAUUAAAAGCAAAUAAAGGAAAUUCUGAUAUCUUACCAUUUUCACGCACCCAAAAUAUGAGGGAUUACACUCAAAGCUUUCAUUUCCUGCCAAUCUCGUGGCCUUAUCUGAGUCUUCUAAGAAUUUGUUCUUCUUAUAUGAAAUUAUUGAUUUGAGUAAUUACCUGGUAAUUAUACUAAGACGCAAUUUUUCGGUUUGUGGUAAAAGAAAAAUCUACCACACAAAAGCUUCUAGUCUAAAAUGAGGCUUACAGAUUCAAUAUCAUUCGACAAAUGUUUAUCACUGCCCGGAGUUGCACAGGCACUGGGGCUGGAGGAAAGAAAAUGCACAAAACCCAGUUCCUGCCCAAAGCAAUUCAAAGUCUAUGAGGGAAUAAAGGCAUUCAUCAUAGCCCAGUAUGCUAAACCUUUUAAUAGAAAGGAAGCUUACAACACUAGGGCACAUUCCUUUGUUUCUCUCUAGACUGAGUUUUGUGUCCUCUAAGGCCCCACCUAGUAGACUCAGGAUGAACUCCCUCUUACAUAUGUGCUGUUGCUUCUUAAAGUCCGUGCACAAGUUCCAAGGUCAGGACCCUCAGACACUGCAGAUUAAUCAGAGAAGGCACUGAGGCCUUCAUUCAUCCCACCCUAGUCACCCCAAUAGGCUGCUUGUCUAAGCCACGUGUUUCCCUAAAACUCACAGGCCUAAGCUCUCAGGUCUCAAACCCUAAGCUGAGCUUCCCAGUCCCACCUCUGAGGCAUGCAAGGCUCCUAUGCACCCAUCAGAGACCCUGUUUCACCUCUGGAGGCCUCGUAUGGAAGAGCUCUUCCAACCUCAGAGAACGCUCUCCAUACUUCACUCCAACCAUUUUCACCUCCCAUCCUCCAGACCCUCACCUUGACCCAUGACCUCAAGACAGAGCCUCUCAAAGUGUCCUCUGGCCCCAGGCCGACUUUAGAAACAAGCCAGGAUGAUAGCUCUCAUCAGAAGGCAAAUUGGCUAGCACUUGAUUUUGGACCCUCAGCCUCCAGAACUAAAUAAUGUUUGAGAUAAGAACCAAGGAGAAGGGUAGGAACAUGUUUUGGGCAAAGACGAUAGUAAUAGCCCUAGCGGAGCUCUCAGGAGUCUUGUAAGGGUUUCCCACAUCAAGGAAGUAGGAAGGAGUUUCUUCAGAACCACUGGAUGGAAGACCUGUGCUGAGAAUCAGGUUAGAAAGGUAGUCUUCUAACAAACCAGGCUGAGGAGUUGAAUUUCAUCCUAGAGGAGAUGGAGAAUCAUCCACUCAAUCUGUAAGAAAGAUGAUCACUUUGGGUGAGUUAAUGGGCUCAUUAAUUUCAUUAAUGAACCUGUUUCUGCCAUGAUAUAGCUUUUCCUUAAUAUUUAGGAAAUAAAAGAUUUGAAAUGUUUUUCUUUAUGCUCAGUAGCCCUAGUUUUCAGUGAUUUCAACUUUGUCUAAUAGUGUCUGACCUGAUUACUACUGUCUUGCACGUGACUAAAACCAUAAGAUAGCUAUCAUUUGCUGUAUAAUUAAGGCGAUUGUUAAACCUACUGACUAUAUAUGACAGUUACUCUGAGCUUCUAUGUUUGGCUUCUACAAAAUAAAAAUUAUAGGAAUCUAUUCCAGAAAUAGUGUAAGAAAGCAUAUUGGUGAUAUUUUCUAUUUGUAUUGUAAAAUUCUAGGUGCAAUAUGAAUACUGAAUAAUAACAUUAUGGAGUAUAACUAUCUUGGAAUUUCCUGUUUUGCUAAGACAUGUAUUUGUCCACCAUGAGUAUAUUAAAGUCCUAAUAAAAAGCAAUGUGUUUUUAUAAUUUAGGAAAGAAUCUUCAUAGGCAGUUAUAAUUAUAAAUAUGACUUGAAGACAAAUUUAAGAAUUGCUUUUAUUUCUGCUGUGGAGAUUAUAAUUUUAAAUGAAAUUGUUGAAAAUUUAUUUAAAACCUGAGCUUUAGUUUGAAUAUAGUUAGAACUGGAUGCCUUCUAUAAUAAAAUUAAUUUUAAAUCAU
Orcinus orca (killer whale) is the source of this 3435-nucleotide long non-coding RNA. RefSeq lists it as uncharacterized. The record is from RefSeq and is a predicted model, not a curated record. The transcript has 2 exons. Lineage: Eukaryota; Metazoa; Chordata; Mammalia; Artiodactyla; Delphinidae.